This 85-nucleotide transfer RNA is filed under the name Felis catus (domestic cat). RNAcentral's name for it is "tRNA-Arg (TCG) (tRNA-Arg-TCG-25-1)". It matches the Rfam family "tRNA". Rfam says of the family: Transfer RNA (tRNA) molecules are approximately 80 nucleotides in length. Lineage: Eukaryota; Metazoa; Chordata; Mammalia; Carnivora; Felidae. The record is from Rfam by way of RNAcentral.
GCCUGGGUGGCUCAGUUGGUUGAGCAUCUGACUUCGGCUCAGGUCACGAUCUCACAGUUUGUGGGUUUGAGCCCCACGUCAGGCU